UACGUAGGGACCAAGCGUUGUCCGGAAUCAUUGGGCGUAAAGCGCGCGGAGGUGGCUUCGUAAGUCCGUUGUGAAAGUCAAAGGCUCAACCUUUGAAAGCCGAUGGAUACUGCGAAGCUAGAGUACGGAAGAGGCGAGUGGAAUUCCUGGUGUAGCGGUGGAAUGCGCAGAUAUCAGGAGGAACACCAAUAGCGAAGGCAGCUCGCUGGGACGUUACUGACACUGAGGCGCGAAAGCGUGGGGAGCGAACAGG
This 253-nucleotide ribosomal RNA is filed under the name uncultured bacterium. RNAcentral describes it as "partial 16S ribosomal RNA". It matches the Rfam family "Bacterial small subunit ribosomal RNA", at positions 524 to 776 of the family's 1533-position model. The record is from RNAcentral.